Long non-coding RNA from Piliocolobus tephrosceles (Ugandan red Colobus), 2888 nucleotides. Lineage: Eukaryota; Metazoa; Chordata; Mammalia; Primates; Cercopithecidae. The record is from Ensembl.
UUUUUUUUUUUUUUUUUUUUUUUGAUUCUUCAUUUCUAUUUAUUUAUUUUGCUCUUUAUUUUAUUGUACGAAGAAGAAUAAUUGUUUAGAUAUUAAUAUGUUUAGCUAUUAUGAUAUUCAGGUAUUAAGAAGUCCAUAAUAAUCACAUACAAAGAACGCAAUUUUAAUUUAAAGGCACAUAUACCAAGAUUUAUUUUUGUGUUCAGAAGUUUAUAUAUAUAUAUAUAUAAAUAAACUGUAUUUAUGCUUAUUUGUACACAUAUAUAAAAAUAACUAUAUCAAACAUAUGUACAGAACCUUUUUAUUAUUUUUUUGCUGAAGUGGUCAAUAAUAUUUUUAAAAAAAAAUUAUAGUUAUAUAUUACAAGGAUGCACAUAUAUUUAUAUAUAUAUAUAUAUAUAUUUAAUAUUUAUAGAAGGACAAAUUAUAUUUAGAAAAAAAAAAAAAAAAAAAAAAAAAAAAAAAAAAAAAAACCUUAAAUAUAUAUAGAAAAAAUAAAGAAUACUUUUACACAUUUUUAAAAAAUUUAAAUAGCUAUAUUUAAAAAAAAAACAAAAAAAUACACAUGUAUAUAUAUAUUAAAAUUGUCAGAUAUUUCAAUUUUUUUUUUUUUUUUUUAUAUUCAUUUAAUUUAAUAUAAUUUUAUAUUAUUUAUGGGAGAAAAGAAAUAACAACACGUAUAUACAUAAAUAUAUAUAUUAUUUACGAAUUUGAAGUAUUUUUUAUUUUUGAAACAUAAAUUUUUACCAAAAUUUUAAAAAUAUAUUAUUUAUAAUACUUUAUCAUAAUUUUAAGCAAGAACUAGUAAAGAAGAACCAGCGGUUAUAAUGCUAUUUAAGUUUUUAAAGUGGUAAACGAUAACAAAGAAAUAAAAAAUUAAUAAUAAAAUAAGCGAGUAUAUUAGUGUCUAUAGUAGUGGUUAUAUUAGCGGCUAUAUUAUUGGCUUUAUAUAUGUAUAUACAUAAUUAUAUUUUUUAAAAGAAAAUCAAAUUAAUAAUGAAUGCAACCGUUGAAGAAAGUACCAUGCAAGUUCAGACACAAAUAAAUAAUGAUAAUAUUCUUCACAACAAUACUAGUAGCUUAGACAAAGAAAACAUAACGAGUGAAAAUAUGUAUAAUGCAAAUAAUGACAACGUAUCCAACAUGGAAGGUAAGGAUAAGAAUAUCGAUGAAGGUGAGAAAGGGGAUAAUGUACCAGCUAGUGAUAUGAAUAAUUAUAAUAAUAGUAAUGGAAAAGAUGAAAAUACAAAUAACCCAACAGAAAACACUGCAAACAAGAGUAGUGAUCGUUGGGCUGACAUGUGUGACGAUAUGGAGGAUAUCCCAUUAGUUGAUGAAUAUAGUAACGAAACCGAAACAAACACUCAAUUUAUGGGAACAAGUUAUUAUAACAACGACAUGAAUAAUAACAUGAAGCAGAAUUAUUACAAUCCUAACAAAAAUGAUAUGAACAACUAUCCUCCAUGCUACGAAAUAUACAUUCGCAAUCUCGGUGAAAAUGUAACGAAAAACGAUUUGUACACUUUGUUCAAUGGUUACCACAUAAAAAAAAUUAGCUUGUUUAACAGAAAGGACAAAAUGUCUGCAGCGUAUGUAGAAUUUGAUAAUCCAGAAGAUAUGAAUAGAUCAUUAGAAUUUAAUGGUAGAAUAUUGCCGACAGGAAAUAGUGGAGGUGAACAGAAUGCAAUUUCAGUUAUUAUUAAUGAAAAGGUGAAAGGUUUUAAUUUAAAUCAGAAACAAAAUAAGUUUAAAAAAAAUAUGAACAGAUCAAAUAAUUUUUCAAAUUUACGUCAAAAUAAUAAUAAUAAUAAUAAUAAUAGUAACAAUAUGAAUAACAUGAUGAAUAAUUAUAAUCAUAUGAACAACAUGAAUCAUAAUAUGAUAAAUAAUAAUAAUAAUAACAUGUAUGGUAUGAAUAAUAAUUAUAAUGCUUUUUUUAAUGAUAAUAAUAAUAAUCAGAAUAAGAUGUUAAUAGGUGGUGAUAUGAAAAAUAAUAACAUGAAUCCUAAUUUUAAUUAUAACAAUGUAAAAGGAAAAUACAUAAAUCAUAUAAAUUUAAAUCAAAGUAAUAAUAAUACACAUAUGAUGAAUGAUAACAUGCAUAAUAAUAAUAACAAUAAUGCAUUUAAUUUAAAAAAUAAUAACUUUCAAAAUAAUAUGACUGAUCAUAAUAAAAUUAUGAAUAAUGAAAAUGUUGCUAAUAAAAAUGUAGAAAGAAAAAAAUUGAAUGUAAAAAAAAGAACUGUCCCUAUAGAUACUAAUAGUUAUGUAGCGAAUCCUAGUAUUUUUGGUGAAGCUAGACCUGUUAAUACAGAUCCGGACAAAUUUUUAAGUACAAAUAAUGCAAACGAAAAGGAAAAACAAAAAGAUAUUGCUACCGUGACAACCACAACUGAUACAGAAAAGUUUAAAGAAAAAUACAAUAGAAGUAACAAUAACAACAAUAUGGGUUCAGAACAAAUUGAAAGAAAAUUUGAAAAACAAGAAGAAUCUGAAAGAAUGAAUAAAAAAAAAACACAUUGGUGAGUAAUCAAAAUAAUGUUAAUGUUAGUAAUAAUAAUAAUAAUAAUAAUAAUAGUAAUAAUAAUAAUAGUAAUAAUAAUGAGAACAACAAAGGAUUUGUUAAUUCUUCAGGAAACAAAGCAUUUAAUUUUAAAAAAAAUACAAACAUGAAUAGAAACUUUAGCUAUAAUAAUCAGAGUAGUCAAUCCAAUCAGAAUAAUUAUCACACUUAUCACCACACCGGUGGUAAUAACACUGACACUAUGAAAAAUAAUAAUAAUGAUAAUGUGAGAAGUAAUAACAAUAAUACGAUAGUUAAUAACAAUUCUGCAAAAAAAGGCUUUGUAUUAAAUAAAACCCCAUUUAAUAAUAGUAGUGUUAAAAAA